Molecule: ribosomal RNA, 347 nt
Filed under: uncultured bacterium
Lineage: Bacteria
Description: partial 16S ribosomal RNA
Rfam family: Bacterial small subunit ribosomal RNA
Source: RNAcentral
CCUACGGGCGGCAGCAGUCGAGAAUCUUUCACAAUGGGGGAAACCCUGAUGGUGCGACGCCGCGUGGGGGAAUGAAGGUCUUCGGAUUGUAAACCCCUGUCAUGUGGGAGCAAAUUAUAAAGAUAGUACCACAAGAGGAAGAGACGGCGAACUCUGUGCCAGCAGCCGUGGUAAGACAGAGGUCGCAAGCGUUGUUCGGAAUCACUGGGCGUAAAGCGUGCGUAGGUUGUUACGUAAGUCGUGAGUGAAAGGCAGGGGCUCAACCCGCGGACGGCUAAUGAUACUGCGAGACUAGAGUGAUGGAGGGGGAACCGGAAUUCUCGGUGUAGCAGUGAAAUGCGUAGAUA